UCCAGGUGGGGUGGCAUGCACCUAUAGUCCCAGCUACUCAGGAGGCUGAGGCAGGAGGGUCACUUGAGCCCAGGAGUUCAAGACUAGCCUGAAUAACACAGCAAGACCCUAUCUCAA
This 117-nucleotide small RNA is filed under the name Marmota monax (woodchuck). The record is from RNAcentral. Lineage: Eukaryota; Metazoa; Chordata; Mammalia; Rodentia; Sciuridae.